Molecule: long non-coding RNA, 526 nt
Filed under: Portunus trituberculatus (swimming crab)
Lineage: Eukaryota; Metazoa; Arthropoda; Malacostraca; Decapoda; Portunidae
Description: uncharacterized LOC123515483, transcript variant X3
Source: RNAcentral
AUGUUGCUUGUGUGGCCGGUGUGAAUGUGACCGGGGGCUUGGCAGGGGUGAUGGGAGGCUUGGCAAGGGUGGCAGGGGGGCGAGGUACAGAAAAUACCCCCCGGCGUACAUGCCCUCAAAACUGCAGGAGAUGGAGGACAGCGGGGAGAUGAAGGAAUUUGAGUAGCGGGCGGUCCGAGUGGCCCACAGCACCCACACCACCUCCGUACUCCACCACCCGCUUGUCAGGAAAUUCACCAACCACAUCAUGAAAACAGGAAACAAACCUCUGGCCAGGGAACUUGUCGAGAAGGUCAAAGGUCACAACUAGCCAGCCGGGAGUGGGUCAGGAUGGCACGGCUGGCUGUGGUGGUGGUGGUGGUGGUAUUGGUGUUGGCGGCAGCAGCGGCGGGAAGGCCAGACUACACGCUGUCCCAAAAAUUUAUUGAAAUGUUGCAGAGUGAACAGUCCGCUUGGAAGAUUGUGUUAAGAUAUGGAGAAACAGACCAAAGGAACAGGAGGAGGAGGAGGAGGAAAGAGAUAUGAG